AUACGGAGGGUGCAAGCGUUACUCGGAAUCACUGGGCGUAAAGCGCGCGCAGGCGGCUAUUUAAGUUGGAUGUGAGAGCCUACGGCUCAACCGUAGAACUGCAUCCAAAACGAUUUAGCUAGAGUGUGGGAGAGGAAGAUGGAAUUAGUUGUGUAGGGGUAAGAUCCGUAGAGAUAACUAGGAAUACCAAAAGCGAAGGCAAUCUUCUGGAACACUACUGACGCUGAGGCGCGAAAGCGUGGGGAGCAAACGGGAUUAGAAACCCCAGUAGUCC
RNAcentral lists this ribosomal RNA (274 nucleotides) under uncultured bacterium. RNAcentral describes it as "partial 16S ribosomal RNA". It matches the Rfam family "Bacterial small subunit ribosomal RNA", at positions 523 to 796 of the family's 1533-position model. The record is from RNAcentral.